Molecule: non-coding RNA, 214 nt
Organism: Pelobates cultripes (western spadefoot toad)
Lineage: Eukaryota; Metazoa; Chordata; Amphibia; Anura; Pelobatidae
Source: the annotation of a GenBank genome assembly
GGGAGGGGGUGACUAGUGACAGUGAGGGAGCGGGUGACAGUGACAGAGUUAGGGAGGGAGUGACUAGUGACAGUCACUCCCUCCCUCUGUCACUAGUCACUCCCUCCCUCUGUCACCAGUCAUCCCCUCACUCUGUCACCAGUCACCCCUUCCCUCCCUCACUCUGCCACUAGUCACCCAUUCCCUAACUCUGUCACUAGUCACCCCCUCUCCC